UGGGGAAUUUUGGACAAUGGGCGAAAGCCUGAUCCAGCAAUGCCGCGUGUGUGAAGAAGGCCUUCGGGUUGUAAAGCACUUUUUGUCCGGAAAGAAAUCCUUGGCUCUAAUACAGUCGGGGGAUGACGGUACCGGAAGAAUAAGCACCGGCUAACUACGUGCCAGCAGCCGCGGUAAUACGUAGGGUGCAAGCGUUAAUCGGAAUUACUGGGCGUAAAGCGUGCGCAGGCGGUUUGCUAAGACCGAUGUGAAAAUCCCCGGGCGUCAACCUAGGGCAACUGGCAAUUGGCUGAAUCUGGCAGGCUAGAGUAUGGCAGAGGGGGGUGAGAAUUCCACGUGUAGCAGUGAAAUGCGUAGAGAUGUGGAGGAAUACCGAUGGCGAAGGCAGCCCCGGCAAGUCAACUGACGCUCAUGCACGAAAAGCGUGGGGAGC
This 433-nucleotide ribosomal RNA is filed under the name uncultured bacterium. RNAcentral's name for it is "partial 16S ribosomal RNA". It matches the Rfam family "Bacterial small subunit ribosomal RNA", at positions 355 to 769 of the family's 1533-position model. The record is from RNAcentral.